UUAUACCGUAGCUUGCUACACCAUAGACUGUGAGUUGCGAACGGGUGAGUAACGCGUAGGUAACCUACCUAUUAGAGGGGGAUAACUAUUGGAAACGAUAGCUAAUACCGCAUAACAGUAUGUAACACAUGUUAGAUGCUUGAAAGAUGCAAUUGCAUCGCUAGUAGAUGGACCUGCGUUGUAUUAGCUAGUAGGUAGGGUAAUGGCCUACCUAGGCAACGAUACAUAGCCGACCUGAGAGGGUGAUCGGCCACACUGGGACUGAGACACGGCCCAGACUCCUACGGGAGGCAGCAGUAGGGAAUCUUCGGCAAUGGGGGGAACCCUGACCGAGCAACGCCGCGUGAGUGAAGAAGGUUUUCGGAUCGUAAAGCUCUGUUGUUAAGGAAGAACGAGUGUGAGAAUGGAAAGUUCAUGCUGUGACGGUACUUAACCAGAAAGGGACGGCUAACUACGUGCCAGCAGCCGCGGUAAUACGUAGGUCCCGAGCGUUGUCCGGAUUUAUUGGGCGUAAAGCGAGCCCAGGCGGUUAGAAAAGUCUGAAGUGAAAGGCAGUGGCUCAACCAUUGUAGGCUUUGGAAACUGUUUAACUUGAGUGCAGAAGGGGAGAGUGGAAUUCCAUGUGUAGCGGUGAAAUGCGUAGAUAUAUGGAGGAACACCGGUGGCGAAAGCGGCUCUCUGGUCUGUAACUGACGCUGAGGCUCGAAAGCGUGGGGAGCGAACAGGAUUAGAUACCCUGGUAGUCCACGCCGUANACGAUGAGUGCUAGGUGUUAGGUCCUUUCCGGGACUUAGUGCCGCAGCUAACGCAUUAAG
RNAcentral lists this ribosomal RNA (815 nucleotides) under uncultured bacterium. Its description in RNAcentral is "bacterial SSU rRNA". It matches the Rfam family "Bacterial small subunit ribosomal RNA", at positions 62 to 864 of the family's 1533-position model. The record is from RNAcentral.